AUACGGAGGAUCCGAGCGUUAUCCGGAUUUAUUGGGUUUAAAGGGUGCGCAGGCGGGAGAUUAAGUCGGCGGUGAAAUUUUGCAGCUCAACUUUAAAAGUGCCUUCGAAACUGGUUUUCUUGAGUGUAGAUGAAGGAGGCGGAAUUUGUGGUGUAGCGGUGAAAUGCAUAGAUAUCACGAGGAACUCCGAUUGCGCAGGCAGCUUACUAAACUACUACUGACGCUCAGGCACGAAGGCGUGGGGAUCAAACAGGAUUAGAUACCCUGGUAGUCCACGCAGUAAACGAUGAUUACUAGCUGUUUGCGAUACAAUGUAAGCGGCUGAGCGAAAGCGUUAAGUAAUCCACCUGGGGAGUACGUUCGCAAGAAUGAAACUCAAAUGAAUUGACGGGG
This 393-nucleotide ribosomal RNA is filed under the name uncultured bacterium. RNAcentral describes it as "partial 16S ribosomal RNA". It matches the Rfam family "Bacterial small subunit ribosomal RNA", at positions 523 to 918 of the family's 1533-position model. The record is from RNAcentral.